GCUUCUUGGAGUGAGUCGAUCCCUCUUCAGCAUGGCUUCAAAUGUCCGGAGGCAUUUAAGUGGGCUAUUCCAUCUACUCUUAUGAGCAAUGCGGUUGUUUAUGUCAUCCAGCGUCCUUAUUAUAUCCCUGAAUGAUGGUCUUCUAAAUGGCUCCUCACUCCAACAUUCCUCUAUUAGCUCCUUUAAUCCAUGCAAAUAACGUUUUGCAGGAGCUCUAAAUGGUGGUCGCUCAUUUGCAGCAUAUGCUUUAGGAACUUCAUUAUCCGGCCUUGUUGAAAAUGGUGGACAGCCUUCAAUCAUCUCUUGUAAUAUCAAAGCAAAAGAAAACACAUCAACUUUAGUGUCAUAUUCUUCAUUUCUGUAGACCUCUGGAGCCACAUAUCGCCAGGAAGUGUCUUGACAUGGUCUGUCUUCCUUAACUGUUUUUGCAACUUUGAGAAGCUUGCUGAC
Molecule: unclassified non-coding RNA, 450 nt
Filed under: Hevea brasiliensis (rubber tree)
Lineage: Eukaryota; Viridiplantae; Streptophyta; Magnoliopsida; Malpighiales; Euphorbiaceae
Source: RNAcentral